CUGUAGAGGGAGAAGGGCCUGGCUGCAGGGAGCUGGAGACACGGUUACUGUUUGUGAGCUUUGUGGAAGAAGUGAACCGUAGAAAUCAGGGGUAUAACUGCAGAGCUAUAUAAACCCAUGACAAUAUCAAGGAAAAUGGUGAAUGGACAGUGAACUGAAUGGACACUUCAGUACAAUCAAACUUGAUAACAGAAUCCAAGUGCUGUCAGAAAACAAAGAAAAUCAAGAAUAAAUCUGCUACCAAAGUUAUUUCUUCUGAAAUGACCUCAGAAAAAUCAGUCUGUUUUGUUAGCCAUGAAUUCCCAACAGAACUCUCUCUAACUGCAUUACUGACAACUAUAUUUGCCUGGAAGACCAUAGCUGAGAACUGAGAAGGAAG
Mauremys reevesii (Reeves's turtle) is the source of this 379-nucleotide long non-coding RNA. RefSeq lists it as uncharacterized. The record is from RefSeq and is a predicted model, not a curated record. The transcript has 3 exons. NCBI's taxonomy places the organism in Eukaryota, Metazoa, Chordata, Testudines, Geoemydidae.